Molecule: small RNA, 114 nt
Filed under: Pseudomonas fluorescens A506
Lineage: Bacteria; Pseudomonadati; Pseudomonadota; Gammaproteobacteria; Pseudomonadales; Pseudomonadaceae
Description: PrrF2 RNA
Rfam family: PrrF RNA
About the family: PrrF RNA is a small RNA involved in iron homeostasis and is found exclusively in Pseudomonas species. Their expression is induced under iron limitation by the ferric uptake regulator (Fur) and they act to negatively regulate several genes including sodB and sdh.
Source: RNAcentral
AGCUGAUCGCAAGAUCAGUCGAUAGACCAAGAGACCUUAGGUCGGACUCUUGGAAUAUCUCCUCAUCAGGCUAAUCACGGUUUUUGACCCGGCUCUUUGGCCGGGUCUUUUUUU